GGAUGUGAGGGCAAUCAGGCUAUGACAUCUGUCACCCCCUUGAUCACCAGCGUUGAUUCAGCUGAUCUGGCUGGCUAGCAGGGUGUUCCUUUCCUGCCUCACCACUGCAUGCAUGUCCCUCCUGAAGCUGUGUGUUUGGUGGAAGAGGAUGACCUUCCCUGAUAGAGGAGGACCAUUCUUUGGUCAAAGGGUAUAUGAGUAGCUGUGUUCCCCUGCUAGAACCUGCAAACAAGUUCUCAAGAUUACAUGAAAACACUUUGAGGUAAAGAUGUCAGGAAUUCAGGAAAUUGUGAAUACUUGGAAAGGUAAUC
RNAcentral lists this small nuclear RNA (311 nucleotides) under Propithecus coquereli (Coquerel's sifaka). RNAcentral describes it as "7SK RNA (ENSPCOG00000001350.1)". It matches the Rfam family "7SK RNA". From Rfam's summary of the family: 7SK was discovered as an abundant small nuclear RNA in the mid-70s but a possible function has only recently been suggested. Two independent studies have found that 7SK RNA binds the CDK9/cyclin T complex (known as elongation factor P-TEFb). P-TEFb activates transcription by phosphorylating the C-terminal domain of RNA polymerase II. The record is from Rfam by way of RNAcentral. Lineage: Eukaryota; Metazoa; Chordata; Mammalia; Primates; Indriidae.